RNAcentral lists this ribosomal RNA (245 nucleotides) under uncultured bacterium. RNAcentral describes it as "partial 16S ribosomal RNA". It matches the Rfam family "Bacterial small subunit ribosomal RNA", at positions 524 to 768 of the family's 1533-position model. The record is from RNAcentral.
UACGUAGGAGGCGAGCGUUGUCCGGAGUUACUGGGCGUAAAGCGUGUGCAGGCGGCCUGACGCGUCCCGGCUGAAAUCUCCCGGCUUAACUGGGAGGGGGGUCGGGAAACGGUCCGGCUUGAGGACUCGAGAGGGAAGUAGAACUCCCGGUGGACCAGUGAAAUGGGUAGAGAUCGGGAAGAAUACCAGAGGUGCAGACGGCUUCCUGGCGAGGACCUGACGCUCAGACACGAAGGCGUGGGGAG